UAAUUCAAACAUAGUUUCCUAUACCAACAAAACCCUUUAUAUAGAUCAUAACCAACAACAGCAAAAGGUUGGUCUGAAGUAAUGAGGUAAUUAACUUGUUCCCCUUCCUCUUUGGCUGCCCAAAACUGUACCAUACAAUCAAUCGGAAAAAAACAGUCUGACAUAAUUUCCUGGAGAACUCGUGUGAUUAUCUGAUUGAUUUCACUUUCAGAUUCCCUCCAAAAAACCCAUCCAAAUUUUUCAUGAAACGUACUCGGAGUUGAUGACAAAUCGUCGGCGGCGUUCAAGUAGUGUUUGAAUUCAGAC
This 306-nucleotide long non-coding RNA is filed under the name Erythranthe guttata (spotted monkey flower). RNAcentral describes it as "long non-coding RNA (EGUT_LNC001480)". Lineage: Eukaryota; Viridiplantae; Streptophyta; Magnoliopsida; Lamiales; Phrymaceae. The record is from RNAcentral.